Molecule: ribosomal RNA, 235 nt
Filed under: uncultured Staphylococcus sp.
Lineage: Bacteria; Bacillati; Bacillota; Bacilli; Caryophanales; Staphylococcaceae
Description: partial 16S ribosomal RNA
Rfam family: Bacterial small subunit ribosomal RNA
Source: RNAcentral
GGUGAGUAACACGUGGAUAACCUACCUAUAAGACUGGGAUAACUUCGGGAAACCGGAGCUAAUACCGGAUAAUAUUUUGAACCGCAUGGUUCAAAAGUGAAAGACGGUCUUGCUGUCACUUAUAGAUGGAUCCGCGCUGCAUUAGCUAGUUGGUAAGGUAACGGCUUACCAAGGCAACGAUGCAUAGCCGACCUGAGAGGGUGAUCGGCCACACUGGAACUGAGACACUGUCCAG